GACGAACGCUGGCGGCGUGCUUAACACAUGCAAGUCGAACGGUAAGGCCCUUCGGGGUACACGAGUGGCGAACGGGUGAGUAACACGUGGGUGAUCUGCCCUGCACUUCGGGAUAAGCCUGGGAAACUGGGUCUAAUACCGGAUAGGACUCCGGACUGCAUGGUCUGGGGUGGAAAGCUUUUGCGGUGUGGGAUGGGCCCGCGGCCUAUCAGCUUGUUGGUGGGGUGAUGGCCUACCAAGGCGACGACAGGUAGCCGGCCUGAGAGGGUGACCGGCCACACUGGGACUGAGAUGCGGCCCAGACUCCUACGGGAGGCAGCAGUGGGGAAUAUUGCACAAUGGGCGCAAGCCUGAUGCAGCGACGCCGCGUGAGGGAUGACGGCCUUCGGGUUGUAAACCUCUUUCAGCAUCGACGAAGCGAAAGUGACGGUAGGUGCAGAAGAAGGACCGGCCAACUACGUGCCAGCAGCCGCCGUAA
RNAcentral lists this ribosomal RNA (478 nucleotides) under uncultured bacterium. RNAcentral describes it as "partial 16S ribosomal RNA". It matches the Rfam family "Bacterial small subunit ribosomal RNA", at positions 28 to 523 of the family's 1533-position model. The record is from RNAcentral.